ACCUGAGAUGGCUCAGUUGGUAGAGCCUGAGACUCAUAAUCUCAGGGUUGUGGAUUUGAGCUCCAUGUUGGGCA
Non-coding RNA from Podarcis lilfordi (Lilford's wall lizard), 74 nucleotides. NCBI's taxonomy places the organism in Eukaryota, Metazoa, Chordata, Lepidosauria, Squamata, Lacertidae. The record is from the annotation of a GenBank genome assembly.